GGCCGGUUGGCCCAAUUGGUAAGGCGUCUGACUACGAUGUAGCACACACGCCUUGUGCUCCGCUGUUGUAUCAUCAGGAGAUUCUGGGUUCGAGCCCCAGGCUGGUCA
Molecule: transfer RNA, 108 nt
Filed under: Pseudozyma flocculosa
Lineage: Eukaryota; Fungi; Basidiomycota; Ustilaginomycetes; Ustilaginales; Ustilaginaceae
Also listed under: 1 other name
Rfam family: tRNA
About the family: Transfer RNA (tRNA) molecules are approximately 80 nucleotides in length. Their secondary structure includes four short double-helical elements and three loops (D, anti-codon, and T loops).
Source: Rfam by way of RNAcentral